AACGAACGCUGGCGGCAGGCCUAACACAUGCAAGUCGAGCGAGGACUUCGGCUCUAGCGGCGGACGGGUGAGUAACGCGUGGGAAUGUGCCCUUCUCUACGGAAUAGCCCUGGGAAACUGGGAGUAAUACCGUAUACGCCCUAUUGGGGAAAGAUUUAUCGGAGAAGGAUCAGCCCGCGUUGGAUUAGGUAGUUGGUGGGGUAAUGGCCUACCAAGCCGACGAUCCAUGGCUGGUUUGAGAGGAUGAUCAGCCACACUGGGACUGAGACACGGCCCAGACUCCUACGGGAGGCAGCAGUGGGGAAUCUUAGACAAUGGGGGCAACCCUGAUCUAGCCAUGCCGCGUGAGUGAUGAAGGCCUUAGGGUUGUAAAGCUCUUUCAGCUGGGAAGAUAAUGACGGUACCAGCAGAAGAAGCCCCGGCUAACUCCGUG
Molecule: ribosomal RNA, 433 nt
Filed under: uncultured bacterium
Lineage: Bacteria
Description: partial 16S ribosomal RNA
Rfam family: Bacterial small subunit ribosomal RNA
Source: RNAcentral